RNAcentral lists this ribosomal RNA (428 nucleotides) under Yersinia mollaretii. RNAcentral's name for it is "bacterial SSU rRNA". It matches the Rfam family "Bacterial small subunit ribosomal RNA", at positions 36 to 460 of the family's 1533-position model. Lineage: Bacteria; Pseudomonadati; Pseudomonadota; Gammaproteobacteria; Enterobacterales; Yersiniaceae. The record is from RNAcentral.
CUGGCGGCAGGCCUAACACAUGCAAGUCGAGCGGCAGCGGAAAGUAGCUUGCUACUUUGCCGGCGAGCGGCGGACGGGUGAGUAAUGUCUGGGAAACUGCCUGAUGGAGGGGGAUAACUACUGGAAACGGUAGCUAAUACCGCAUGACCUCGCAAGAGCAAAGUGGGGGACCUUCGGGCCUCACGCCAUCGGAUGUGCCCAGAUGGGAUUAGCUAGUAGGUGAGGUAAUGGCUCACCUAGGCGACGAUCCCUAGCUGGUCUGAGAGGAUGACCAGCCACACUGGAACUGAGACACGGUCCAGACUCCUACGGGAGGCAGCAGUGGGGAAUAUUGCACAAUGGGCGCAAGCCUGAUGCAGCCAUGCCGCGUGUGUGAAGAAGGCCUUCGGGUUGUAAAGCACUUUCAGCGAGGAGGAAGGCAGUCGUGU